Molecule: ribosomal RNA, 933 nt
Filed under: Triticum aestivum (bread wheat)
Lineage: Eukaryota; Viridiplantae; Streptophyta; Magnoliopsida; Poales; Poaceae
Description: partial small subunit ribosomal RNA
Source: RNAcentral
AUGGCUUCUUCGAUCAUCAACCACAACGCGGUCCAGGGUGAGACUUUUCUCCCCGGACAUAUCUUCGUAUUCGGCGGCUUUGCAUUGCGGGCCAAUUCACUUGGCCAUCUGGAGCAGAUCGAAAGCUACGCCCCUGGCCAUCAGGUCAGAUUUGGAAGUUUAAACUACACGGCUGACAUCCGCGGAGACUUGAUCUUCGACGGAUUCGAGCCACAGCCGAGCGCGCCGCACUAUCACGAUGGGCAUGAUCUAGCUCUGCCACCGGACAACGCCAAGAGUGCCGCUCAGGUGUCCGCUCCGACCCUUAGCUCGGAGCCGACUGCGCCGAUCAAGGACGGGCGGCUGGACGCCGCUUCGGGGGCUGCAAUCUCUACGACGAUCAAGCCGAACACCAAUCUUGUCCUUCGCGGAGCUCAAGACUCCAAGGUGCCGGACUCCGUUCCGGACUCCGAAUCUUCCGCACCUCUCCCGAUCGAACCCAAUUGGGCUCCGAUCAUGGAGUUCACCGCUGCGGACAUCUUUCAACACUCGCCCUUUGGCGACAUCCUGAAUUCACUAAAGUCUCUCUCUUUAUUAGGAAAGCCCUGGCCGGACUAUGGUCAGCAGGGUUGGGAUGCGGACGACGAAGAAAUUCGAAGCCCACCCACCACCCACUGCGUAGCCACUGUCGACGAUUUAACCGACAUGCUCGACUUCGACUCCGAAGACAUCGACGGUAUGGACGCCGAUGAAGGAGACAAACAAGAACCAGCCCCUAUAGGGCACUGGACAACCGCCUCAUCCCACGAUGUAUACAUGGUGUUCAAACCUAAAAGAAACAACAACGAGGAUCAAAAAGGCGCAACGAGGGAUCGUUCCCUCGAAAAGCAAUCAAAGCGGCGACGGAAGCGCUGCGCCAAACCGCACCUUGACAGACACCCAGCCAUAGAGUAG